AGUGAACGCUGGCGGUAGGCGUAACACAUGCAAGUCGAACGGCAGCACAGGAGAGCUUGCUCUCUGGGUGGCGAGUGGCGGACGGGUGAGGAAUACAUCGGAAUCUACUCUGUCGUGGGGGAUAACGUAGGGAAACUUACGCUAAUACCGCAUACGACCUACGGGUGAAAGCAGGGGAUCUUCGGACCUUGCGCGAUUGAAUGAGCCGGUGUCGGAUUAGCUAGUUGGCGGGGUAAAGGCCCACCAAGGCGACGAUCCGUAUCUGGUCUGAGAGGAUGAUCAGCCACACUGGAACUAUGACACGAUGGAGACUCCGACGGGAGGCAGCAUUGGGGCAUGUUGGACAAUGGGCCCAAGCCUGAUCCAGCCAUGCCGCGUGGGUGAAGAAGGGCUUCGGGUUGUAAAGCCCUUUUGUUGGGAAAGAAAUCCAGCUGGCUAAUACCCGGUUGGGAUGACGGUACCCAAAGAAUAAGCACCGGCUAACUUCGUGCCAGCAGCCGCCGUAA
This 506-nucleotide ribosomal RNA is filed under the name uncultured bacterium. RNAcentral describes it as "partial 16S ribosomal RNA". It matches the Rfam family "Bacterial small subunit ribosomal RNA", at positions 29 to 523 of the family's 1533-position model. The record is from RNAcentral.